Molecule: unclassified non-coding RNA, 180 nt
Filed under: uncultured Rhizobiaceae bacterium
Lineage: Bacteria; Pseudomonadati; Pseudomonadota; Alphaproteobacteria; Hyphomicrobiales; Rhizobiaceae
Description: partial 16S-23S ribosomal RNA intergenic spacer
Source: RNAcentral
GGCACCAGUACAGGUGACCAUCGAAACGCAAUACGCCACGGAAUGCUUCGGCAUCGGAUGGUAUGGCGAACUGCGCCGUCCACGUUUCUCUUUCUUCAUGAAGACAAAACCGUAAACCCUUUCAUCGAGAUUGGGCCUGUAGCUCAGUUGGUUAGAGCACACGCNUGAUAAGNCGUGGGG